CGGCAUCGGUAUGAUGUCAGAAAUAAGACGGGAUUCAUCCCUGUUUUCGAGGAAUUCGGGGCCCGUCCUGUCAUCCAGUGCCCACCUUUGUCUGCGUGAGUCAUGUGCCACCACGAGAGAAGCCAUGAUGACCACUGUGGCACCCGCCACGAGAACCACCGUGCGAAUGGGAGGAUCCUUGGCGAGAGGUGGAUGAGCCUGGCUGAGAUGGAGGGUGAGUGGUGAUGAGGGAUGUGGUAUGGUCCGCGGAGGCCGAGGAGCGAGAGGUCUGGUUCUCAAAGACCAGCAGACGAGAGCGGAGGUCUGUGAAGCUUGAGAGAGUGGGU
This 326-nucleotide long non-coding RNA is filed under the name Prunus persica (peach). RNAcentral's name for it is "long non-coding RNA (PPER_LNC002505)". The record is from RNAcentral. Lineage: Eukaryota; Viridiplantae; Streptophyta; Magnoliopsida; Rosales; Rosaceae.